CUGGCGGUGGGACAAUGUCAGGCGGGGAGUUUGACUGGGGCGGUCGCCUCCGAAAGGGUAUCGGAGGCGCUCAAAGGUUCCCUCAGGAUGGUUGGAAACCAUCCAAAGAGUGCAAAGGCAUAAGGGAGCUUGACUGCGAGACCGACGGGUCGAGCAGGUAGGAAACUAGGACUUAGUGAUCCGGUGGUAUAAAGUGGGAUUGCCAUCGCUCAACGGAUAAAAGCUACCCUGGGGAUAACAGGCUUAUCACUCCCAAGAGUUCACAUCGACGGAGUGGUUUGGCACCUCGAUGUCGGCUCAUCGCAUCCUGGGGCUGUAGCAGGUCCCAAGGGUUGGGCUGUUCGCCCAUUAAAGCGGUACGCGAGCUGGGUUCAGAACGUCGUGAGACAGUUCGGUCCCUAUCCGGCGUGGGCGCAGGAUAUUUGAGAGGAGCUGUCCUUAGUACGAGAGGACCGGGAUGGACCGACCACUGGUGUAUCUGUUAGGUAUCAGGCCUAUGGCAGAGUAGCCAAGUCGGGACGGGAUAAACGCUGAAGGCAUCUAAGCGUGAAGCCCCCCUCAAGAUGAGAUAUCCCAUUCUGUUAAAGAAGUAAGACCCCUUGAAGACGACGAGGUAGAUAGGGCAGAGGUGGAAGUGCGGUAACGUAUGGAGCUGACUGUCACUAAUCGGUCGAGGGCUUGACCAG
This 686-nucleotide non-coding RNA is filed under the name Lachnoclostridium sp. An14. RNAcentral's name for it is "Bacterial large subunit ribosomal RNA". It matches the Rfam family "Bacterial large subunit ribosomal RNA", at positions 2240 to 2925 of the family's 2925-position model. The record is from Rfam by way of RNAcentral. Lineage: Bacteria; Bacillati; Bacillota; Clostridia; Lachnospirales; Lachnospiraceae.